This 255-nucleotide ribosomal RNA is filed under the name uncultured bacterium. RNAcentral describes it as "partial 16S ribosomal RNA". It matches the Rfam family "Bacterial small subunit ribosomal RNA", at positions 524 to 776 of the family's 1533-position model. The record is from RNAcentral.
UACGGAGGGUGCAAGCGUUGUUCGGAAUCAUUGGGCGUAAAGCGCGCGCAGGCGGUCUGAGAAGUCUAUGGGUGAAAUGCCGGGGCUCAACUCCGUGCAUGCCCAGGAUACUCUCAGGCUAGAGACAUGUAGAGGCUGGCGGAAUUCCGGGUGUAGCGGUGGAAUGCGUAGAUAUCUGGAGGAAUACCGGUGGCGAGGGCGGCAUCCUGGACCAUUUACUGACGCUGAGGCGCGAAAGCUAGGGGAGCAAACGGG